AGUCUUAUAUUCAUUUAUGAUUUAAAAUUGCAAAUUUUAAGGAGCAAUAGAUAAUUGCUAAGGCUU
Molecule: transfer RNA, 66 nt
Filed under: Pseudoips prasinana
Lineage: Eukaryota; Metazoa; Arthropoda; Insecta; Lepidoptera; Nolidae
Description: tRNA-Cys
Source: RNAcentral